RNAcentral lists this ribosomal RNA (466 nucleotides) under Selenomonas sputigena. Its description in RNAcentral is "bacterial SSU rRNA". It matches the Rfam family "Bacterial small subunit ribosomal RNA", at positions 28 to 474 of the family's 1533-position model. Lineage: Bacteria; Bacillati; Bacillota; Negativicutes; Selenomonadales; Selenomonadaceae. The record is from RNAcentral.
GACGAACGCUGGCGGCGUGCUUAACACAUGCAAGUCGAACGGGAACCUUUAUUUCGGUAAAGGUGAGAGUGGCAAACGGGUGAGUAACACGUAGGCAACCUGCCGACAGGAUGGGGACAACAUUCCGAAAGGAAUGCUAAUACCGAAUGGAGUCCGAGGAUGGCAUCAUCCACGGAUAAAAGAUGGCCUCUUAACAAUGCUAUCGCCUGUCGAUGGGCCUGCGUCUGAUUAGCCAGUUGGCGGGGUAAUGGCCCACCAAAGCGACGAUCAGUAGCCGGUCUGAGAGGAUGAACGGCCACAUUGGGACUGAGACACGGCCCAGACUCCUACGGGAGGCAGCAGUGGGGAAUCUUCCACAAUGGGCGAAAGCCUGAUGGAGCAACGCCGCGUGAGUGAAGAAGGUCUUCGGAUCGUAAAGCUCUGUUGCACGGGACGAAAACCGAGCUUGAAAAUAUUGAGCUUGGGG